UACGGAGGGUGCAAGCGUUAUCCGGAUUUACUGGGCUUAAAGGGUGCGUAGGUGGGUCUGUAAGUCAGUGGUGAAAUCUUCAAGCUUAACUUGGAAACUGCCAUUGAUACUAUAGGUCUUGAAUUAUCUGGAGGUGAGCGGAAUAUGUCAUGUAGCGGUGAAAUGCUUAGAUAUGACAUAGAACACCAAUUGCGAAGGCAGCUCACUACGGAUGUAUUGACACUGAGGCACGAAAGCGUGGGGAUCAAACAGG
Molecule: ribosomal RNA, 253 nt
Filed under: uncultured bacterium
Lineage: Bacteria
Description: partial 16S ribosomal RNA
Rfam family: Bacterial small subunit ribosomal RNA
Source: RNAcentral